RNAcentral lists this long non-coding RNA (1169 nucleotides) under Cricetulus griseus (Chinese hamster). RNAcentral's name for it is "lncRNA (ENSCGRG00015036456.1)". Lineage: Eukaryota; Metazoa; Chordata; Mammalia; Rodentia; Cricetidae. The record is from RNAcentral.
CUGCUGUGGAACCAGGUGGGACAGAAACUUGGUCUCCACAGAGGUAACCAGCUGCAUGAAAGGUUAGCACUGGUUGAAAUUUAUUUCAGCAUAUAUAGAAAUGCAAGGAAACAGGAGAUAAGAAAGCAAGAAACCCAAAAUUCUUGCCAAGGAAUUAGGAAGUGAGAAGACUCUACCACCACUGUUCACAUGGCCAAAGGAGUUCUCAAGAGGAAUUUUGUUAGGUUCUGACUGCUUCCAUGCUAUGCUCACUUUCUGCUAGGCACUACAUAGAAAGCAUGUAGGGCAGGAAGGAAAAGAAUGAUGGAGUCUGAGUUGAAGGAGAAAGAAAAAACCCUGCUCACUGGGAUUACUAUAGUCACCAAGCAAAUGCUUGAGAAAUAAAGACAUGGCAAGAUAAAACCGAGGAAUGCAUGGUCACCAGACUGAAUGGAAAAGAAAGAGAACUUCCAUCGUGAAGGCAUAAAUGAGGAGACUGAAUGCACAAACACUAAAUAGAAAAGGACGGACAUCAUUGCUACACCAAACCAUCAGAUAGCCAAGAGAAAAACCAGAGUAAAGAAUUUACAAAAUGACUGCUAGAAAAUGAAUAAAAUUGCAGGUGUAAGUUAUUACUUUUCAAUAAUGAACUUGGAGACAUAUGAAUGAAAUUUUCAAAUGAAAUGACUGACUAGUAGAAUGGAUUUUGUGAAAGAAAAAGACUUAGCAGUAUACUUCUUAACUGCCGAGCCAUCUCUCCCGCCCUUAGCAGUGUACUUCUUAUAAGAAAAAGACCUCACCAGUAAAAAUGUAGACUGAAAGUAUAGAAAACUAUAUUCCAAGCAAAUGAAAUUUUAAUGCUUGCAUGAGCAUCUAUACGUACAUCUCAUGAACAGAACAUAAAACUGUAAGAAGAGGCAAGGCAGGUUACUACAUAAUAAUCUAGGAGUAAAUCCAAGAAGUCCUAAUGUUGUAAAUCUUUAUAUGUCUAAUGUCAGAGAUCCCAGCCAUACAGAGCAAGCAGCAUGAGAAUAAAGGGAAAGAUAAGCUCAAAUACAAGAUUACUUGGAAGGGAGGGCCUCAAUAUCCUAUGCUCAUCAAAAGACAGAAGCACCCCGAUACAAAAGCAACAUGAAAUGUCAGAGUGAAACUAUACUAUAGUGCAAAUGUAAUGAACAGACAUGUCCAGA